AGACAAAGGUGAUUACUCCAUCCUAAUCCUCUUGGAUCUCUCAGCGGCAUUUGACACCAUUGAGCAUAGGAUUUUAAUAGAGAGCUUGCAGCACAUCUGUGUUCUAGGAGGCACAGUCCUUAACUGGUUUAAAUCUUUCCUCACUGGUAGAUCACAGAGAGUAACAUCAGGAUCAAGCUCAUCGGCACCAACAGAACUGACCUGCGGAGU
Pelobates cultripes (western spadefoot toad) is the source of this 210-nucleotide non-coding RNA. The record is from the annotation of a GenBank genome assembly. NCBI's taxonomy places the organism in Eukaryota, Metazoa, Chordata, Amphibia, Anura, Pelobatidae.